GUAUGAGUCAUGCUCUCUCUCGUCAACCAUCUCUGAAAUCCUUUCAAACAGGAGAUGAUGUGUAGUGCUCGCACUGGCUUUAGCAGGAUUUGGAUCAGGCCAUCUGGGUAAACUUUCUUGAUCUGUUUGAACUGCUGGACUUCUGUGCUGCUGGUGAAAUGGGUGGUCCCGUGUUUUAUCUCCUGGCAACACGGUUCAGUGGCCUCCCUUUAUCCCAGCAUGGAGCUCAUGUGGCUAUAAAAUGAACCAGACUAUGGACUGAGCAUCCUUUUUUUUCCCCCUAGAUUAGUUCCCUAAUUUGGAUUAUCACUUGAACACACGAUUGCAACUGCUGGCCUGAGGAAGAGGAUGGGAUCAUGCACAAGAAGCAGGGAAGCCAGUUUAAAAAUAGAAACUGUCACGACUGGAAUGUUUUUCUUCUUGUCUUGGAAGACAACAUCUGUAAGAAUUAUAAAUGUGCCACUGAAAAAUGAUUCAUAGAUUUUGUGUACUGGAAUAACAUCCAGAUUUUAUAUAAUGGAAUAACAUUUGGCCAUAAGGCCAAAUUAUCAGCUGUUGUCAUAUUGUUGAGCUCAGUGGAAUUAAGAAAACCAGCUGAGUCCAUGACAAAUGGGGAAAGUUUCUACAGAAUUCACAUUAUUUGUGUUUAAUGACACAAAAUCAAGGAGAGGUAUCUAAAUCUAAAUGUUUUUCUUCAGCUCUCAAGAGAAAAUGACAAGAACAACUGCCAUUUAACUUGCUUUCUUGUACUGUAACAGCAAGCAUUUCAUUAAUAAAAGUACUUUGUAUCAAA
Long non-coding RNA from Aquila chrysaetos chrysaetos, 793 nucleotides. RefSeq lists it as uncharacterized. The transcript has 3 exons. The record is from RefSeq and is a predicted model, not a curated record. Lineage: Eukaryota; Metazoa; Chordata; Aves; Accipitriformes; Accipitridae.